CUGCAAAAUCGAGAGAUGAGGUAUAGGGGCUGACGCCGGCCCGGGGCUGGAAGGUUAAGAGGGGUGCUUGGCGCAAGCGAAGGUAGGAAUUGAAGCCCCAGUAAACGGCGGCCGUAACUAUAACGGUCCUAAGGUAGCGAAAUUCCUUGUCGGGUAAGUUCCGACCCGCACGAAAGGCGUAACGAUUUGGGCACUGUCUCAACGAGAGACUCGGUGAAAUUUUAGUACCUGUGAAGAUGCAGGUUACCCGCGACAGGACGGAAAGACCCCAUGGAGCUUUACUGCAGUUUGAUAUUG
RNAcentral lists this ribosomal RNA (297 nucleotides) under Enterococcus faecium. Its description in RNAcentral is "partial 23S ribosomal RNA". It matches the Rfam family "Bacterial large subunit ribosomal RNA", at positions 1823 to 2119 of the family's 2925-position model. The record is from RNAcentral. Lineage: Bacteria; Bacillati; Bacillota; Bacilli; Lactobacillales; Enterococcaceae.